CUUUUAAUUGAAGGCUUGAAUGAAAGGUUGGACGAGGGAUAAGCUGUCUCUUUUACGCGGGUUGAAUUUAACUUUUGAGUGAAAAGGCUCAAAUUUCUUAGUGGGACGAUAAGACCCUAUAAAACUUGACACAGACUUAGCUGAAUUUGUGAUUUUAGUAAAAAGUGAUUCUGCGAAGCCUUUGUUUCGUUGGGGAGAUGUAGAUAUAAUUUGUAACUGUCUAUAAAAUUAAAUAAUUGUGAUUAGUUGUUGAUCCUUCACUUGUGGAUUAAAAGAAUAAGUUACUUUAGGGAUAACAGCGUGAUUUUCUUUGAGAGUUCUUAUCGACAAGAGUAGUUGCGACCUCGAUGUUGA
Molecule: ribosomal RNA, 354 nt
Filed under: Macrobrachium rude
Lineage: Eukaryota; Metazoa; Arthropoda; Malacostraca; Decapoda; Palaemonidae
Description: partial large subunit ribosomal RNA
Rfam family: Bacterial large subunit ribosomal RNA
Source: RNAcentral